GCUUGUCUCAAAGAUUAAGCCAUGCAUGUCUAAGUAUAAGCUUUUAUACAGUGAAACUGCGAAUGGCUCAGUAAAUCAGUUAUGAUCUACUUGACAAAUUUACUACUGGAUAUCCGUGGUAAUUCUAGAGCUAAUACAGUGCAUUCAAUCCCUGAUGUUUUGAUGGGAGCACUAGUUAGAUUCAUAAGCCAAACCGCCAGGGCAACCUGGUAUUGCUUAGUCAUAACUAUUAAGCUGAUCGACCGCAAGGUCGACGGUUCAAUCGAAUUUCUGCCCUAUCAUUGCUCUGUUGGUAGGAUAGAGGCCUACCAUGGCUGCAACGGGUAACGGGGAAUAAGGGUUCUAUUCCGGAGAGGGCGCCUGAGAAAUGGCGACCACAUCCAAGGAAGGCAGCAGG
Molecule: ribosomal RNA, 397 nt
Filed under: Syncephalastrum racemosum
Lineage: Eukaryota; Fungi; Mucoromycota; Mucoromycetes; Mucorales; Syncephalastraceae
Description: partial small subunit ribosomal RNA
Rfam family: Eukaryotic small subunit ribosomal RNA
Source: RNAcentral